AUUGAACGCUGGCGGCAUGCUUUACACAUGCAAGUCGAACGGCAGCGCGGGCUUCGGCCUGGCGGCGAGUGGCGAACGGGUGAGUAAUACAUCGGAACGUGCCCAGUAGUGGGGGAUAGCUCGGCGAAAGCCGGAUUAAUACCGCAUACGACCUGAGGGUGAAAGCGGGGGAUCUUCGGACCUCUCGCUAUUGGAGCGGCCGAUGGCAGAUUAGAUAGUUGGUGGGGUAAAGGCCUACCAAGGCGACGAUCUGUAGCUGGUCUGAGAGGCCGACCAGCCACACUGGGACUGAGACACGGCCCAGACUCCUACGGGAGGCAGCAGUGGGGAAUUUUGGACAAUGGGCGAAAGCCUGAUCCAGCAAUGCCGCGUGUGUGAUGAAGGCCUUCGGGUUGUAAAGCACUUUUGGCGGGAACGAAAAGGACUGUGCCAAUACCACGGUUGGAUGACGGUACCCGCAGAAUAAGCACCGGCUAACUACGUG
RNAcentral lists this ribosomal RNA (484 nucleotides) under uncultured bacterium. RNAcentral describes it as "partial 16S ribosomal RNA". It matches the Rfam family "Bacterial small subunit ribosomal RNA", at positions 29 to 507 of the family's 1533-position model. The record is from RNAcentral.